CUUGGGAUCAGUGCUCUGAGCACCCAGCAGAAGAGGCUCUGAAUGCUUCGGGCUCAGUUAGUCAAGCACCGUGAGCUGCAACAGGGAACAUACAGACAGGAGGCCAGCUGGAGUCUCUCUCUUUCACUUCCUGACGUGUACACCCCGUCAACCCUCAAAUUUCAGCCUCCGAAGCUCCGAGAAAGCCCCUUGGGGAAUACUCUGCUCCUCCCUUUCACUGGGCAGAGCGACCAGCACAGGCUGUGGUCUCCUCGGAAGCUUUGGUGGGAUGCAGGCAGCAUCUGGGAGAAGGCGCCUCGGAACUCACGUGCCCGCGUUGCCCAGGACCCCAAUUCCUUCCACCUCUCGGAUGCUGCUUUCUUUUCCCAGGGACAGAGCCAAGCUGUAAUUGACUCCUUGGGUAUUUCAGAGUCCCUGAUCCCAAGACUGAAGGAUGACUCCCUGCUGUUGUGAAAGGUGCGCUGAAUCGACAGUCCUGAGUUUUGAAGUUUUCCUGGAGGGGACGUGAGGGGAUUUCUCCAGGAUCGAUGGAACUCCUUUUGUGGUGCUUCAGUGCUUCCACCAUGAAGCGCUCAUUUCCCUAUGCACGUCCCCCCGCCCCACCCCACUGUUUCCUUUACUCUCUCUCCUCCCACCCCCAAUUCCCAGAAGAAGAUCUAGGAAUCAGGUCCAAACAUAAGAUCUUUGGAGAAUCCUUGCGUGUGUUUUUUUAAAUUUUUAUUGGAGUAUAGUUGAUUUACAAUGUUGUGUUAGUUCCGGGUGUACAGCAAAGUGAAGCAGUUAUACAUAUACAUAUAAUCCACUCUUUUUUAGACUCUUUUCCCAUACAGGUCAUUACAGAGUACUGAGUAGAGUUCCCUGUGCUAUACAGUAGGUCCUGAUUAGUCAUCUAGUUUAUAGGUAGUGUUGUGUAUAUGUCAAUCCCAAUCUCCCAAUUUAUCCCUCUCCCCUCCCCACUUUCCCCCCCUGGUAACCAUAAGUUUGUUUUCUACACCUGUGACUCUAUUUCGAAUCCUUGUGUUUUACUCUCGUCCUGAAACUAGAUAAAGCCUAGUCAUCAAUCAACAAGUGAGGAAGUAGAGCCAGGCAUUGGUUGAGUGUUGAUGUUUCUGGUACAAGCUGACUCUCCGCUCAUCAUCCCACACCUUCAUCAGCCAUCAUCAUGCUGUCUGUCACCUCCUCUUCUCUGAAGAAGGCCCGGGCCAUCUUUUGAAAAUACAAAGUCCAGCAUUGAGACCCUCCCAACUGAGAGAGCAGGAAGGGCCAGGGCUGCUGAGGUGCUCCCUGAACCCCACUCAGGGGAUCUGUGUUGUUCCCACCUGGGUGUAUUGUGUGGACCCCCUAAAAUUCCUCCAAACCUCUGCCUCUGCGCUUCCAGAUUGCCCCUGAAAGAAAUGAACAAUAAUCAUAAUACCCACCACGUACUGACCGCUGGUCUCUUGAGGGCUGCCUUGCCAUUGGACAACAUUUGUUGAGCUCCUACUGUUUGCCAGACAGCGGGUACAUGCUUUAUGUGUGUUUAGCCCUUCUGACAACACUGUGAUUUAGGACCUGUUAAUAUGUCUAUUUUGCUGAAAUGGAAACUGAGGUUCAGAGUGGUUAAAUAACAAGGAAAAGUCCAUGUUUUUACCCCCUACACUAAUAUAUAUGUAUAUUUGUGUAUAUAUAUUCUAUAUAUGUAUAUUUAACAUGUAUAUGAUGUUGACUGAAAAAAAUGCACAACCUCAAAGUUGAGAAAUAUGUUUUAUUGGGUGGGCAAAACUGAGGACUUAAGCCUGGGACACAGCCUCUCAGCUCUCUCUGAGGGACUGAUCCAAAAAGGAGAGGGAGGAGCCAUCAACUACAGGAGUUUUUGCAACAAAGACCAGGUAAUCGGAACAUGGAAAGAUUCCUGUUAAUUAAAGAAAACCAGACAUCUCGAGUUAAUGACUUUUUAGUGUUUUUCUGUGUAUGGGAAGAUGCAAAAGUCUGGGCUCACUGAAAUCCUUCCUUUGAUAUGCACCUCAGCUAUGUGGGCCAGUAUCCUGUGCUUUCUCAUCCUGUGUUCCCUCGGGGUGCACCAUCAGGGGAGGCUGUGGCAGUUGACUGCUAGAUGGUGGGCAUCCUGUUUCCAUCCUGAGUUUCCUCAGGGUUCACUCUUGGGGCGGCUAUAAUGUGAUGGCUUGAUGGCUGCAACAUCCUUUGUUUACUGAUAUGGCAGGCAACAUUUUUUCAUUGACAAUUAUAUAUAUACAAUAGACACUGUUCGUGUUACAUAUAUUAUCUAUUUUACGUGCUACGUGUUUUUUAGACUCUUUGCAAAAAACCUUGCAAGGUAGGUGUUAUUCUUUACAUUUUGUGAAAAAGAAAUUAAAGCCUCUAACAGGCUGAGAAAUUUGUCAGGUCACUACAUCACGAUUAACAAGUCAGUGAACAAGAUUUUGAAUCCAAGUAAUCCUUUUGUGAAAACAAAACCCCCCCAAAAACAAAGAAACUAUGUUCUUUCCAUGCUCCAAAAUAUAUUUUGGUCAAGUGACUUAAGAAACUCUCCCUUAAGCUUGUCUAAAGCAGAAAAUAAGACAACAAUGCUUUACUGGAAAUUAUCAAAAGGCAGGAUCAAGCAGGAAUAAUGAAAGGGAGCCUGAGGUUUCGGGUGAUGAACCCACUGGCUAAAUAGGCCCCUGGAAACAGACCCACUUUUUUUUUUUUUUAAUUAAUUUGUAUAUUUGUUUAUUGACUGUUUUCCUCCAAUAGAAUGUAAUCUUUUUUUUUUUUUAACAUCUUUAUUGGAGUAUAAUUGCUUUACAAUGGUGUUAGUUUCUGCUUUAUAACAAAGUGAAUCAGCUCUACAUAUACAUAUAUCCCCAUAUCUCCUCCCUCUUGCUAGCUCAUGAUUUAGGACCCACGCACAGGAGAAUUCAGGCUGCAUUAAUAGAAAAAUAUGACUUGCAGCCCUGGAGAUGUGGCUUCAGAGGAAAUGAUGACUUAAUGCUUGUGAUCUGUAAGAAUGUUGGUGUUUUGGGUCAAGUAACCUAUGCAUUUUCUCAAGGGAGGUAGGUUUGGGGAAAAAAGGCAAUAAUUAAACUGAACAUACCAACAAGGAAAAAAUAAUUUAACUGUUACGAUGACUCAUUUAGUUGGCAGCUUCAGGUAAUGAGGUGCUCUGGAUUAAUUUUCCUGAGAGCAGAAACAUAUCCCUUUAAAUGAUGAAGCAUGUUAUCUUCAUCAAUCUUUGAAGAAAAUAUUUCCAAGGUACAUUUUAUAUUCUCUUUUGUCAGUAGUAUUCUUGACAAUUUUUAGGACUAGAGACAUAGUUUUUGUUUUUAAAGAGUUUAAAGAACGAUUUGAUCUUUGAAAAUCAUGUUACAUCGUUGGUCCCCAGUGUUUUCAUCUACAGUAUGUGAACUUUGGGUUAGAUGAUCAUCAAGGUUCCUUCCAUCUCUAAUAUUCUCUAAGUAAAGGGCUCUUGUGCACAAUAAAAUUUAAAACAUAAGAAUCAUCGAGGGGGCUUGUUAAAAAUGCAGAUUCUUAGGUAUCAUUGUUGGAGGUUCUGAUUCAGUUGGUUUGAGUGAGGCAAGAGAACCUGUAUCAUAAAUGGGUGCAUACCCAUGGCCAUUUUGAUGACCUCAUUUUGAGAAACUGAUUCUCUUUCCAGCCUCAGAUAACAGAUGUCAUAACCAUUUUUGGCCACCAGGGUACCGUUGCUGCCCUGCCCUCAGUGGUGUGAAGUUGUAAGGGGCUGACCAGACCCAGAGGCCUGUGCUUUGAUAGUUUGCUUCUGAUCCCAUCCUCAGUAUUAACUGUCACUUAGUUAAUGUAGCUGCUGAGGAAAACCAGAUAAUCGAGCUGCAAAUUAGGUGCCCUGCAUUUGUACCUAUGAGUCAUUAAGUUUUCAUCUCAGGCUGGGUAGGGGCGAGGGGAGGACUUCCAUUUUCUCCUGUAGUCUAAAGUGCAUAAAUGAGCCACGGCUAUCUUAGACCCUGUUUGGAGGUCUCUUACUCUUCGUUCGUGUUCUUUCUCAUCCUAAGAGUCAAGUUUCUGGAAGGGCGACAUCAGGAGAAGUGGCAGAUUUCUGUGUAAAUAUGUUAACAUUUCAUAGUGAGGUUUGGGGUCAGGGCUGUCCCUGACUUCUCUUUUAAAUUUCUUUAUUUUUUGAACAGUUGUAUUGAUGUAUAAUUCACAUGCCAUACAAUUGACUCUUUUGAAGUAUAUGCAAUUCAGUGGUUUUUAGUAAAAUCUGUGAAUUUAUAGAGUUGUAUGCACCUAUCAUGUAAUCUAAUUUUUGAACAUUUCCAUCACCCUCCAAAAGAAACCUUGUGCCUAUUUGGAAUCACUCUCAUUCCCACCCCCAGACCCAUUCAACCGAUAAUUUACUUCUUACCUCUAUAGAUUUGCCUUUUGUAGACAUUUCAUAUAAAUGGGCUCAUACCGUA
Molecule: long non-coding RNA, 4412 nt
Organism: Balaenoptera ricei (Rice's whale)
Lineage: Eukaryota; Metazoa; Chordata; Mammalia; Artiodactyla; Balaenopteridae
Exons: 4
Source: RefSeq, a predicted model, not a curated record